This 683-nucleotide ribosomal RNA is filed under the name uncultured bacterium. RNAcentral's name for it is "bacterial SSU rRNA". It matches the Rfam family "Bacterial small subunit ribosomal RNA", at positions 71 to 742 of the family's 1533-position model. The record is from RNAcentral.
ACGGGUCCUUCGGGAUGCCGACGAGUGGCGAACGGGUGAGUAAUAUAUCGGAACGUGCCCAGUAGUGGGGGAUAACUGCUCGAAAGAGCAGCUAAUACCGCAUACGACCUGAGGGUGAAAGGGGGGGAUCGCAAGACCUCUCGCUAUUGGAGCGGCCGAUAUCAGAUUAGCUAGUUGGUGGGGUAAAGGCCUACCAAGGCAACGAUCUGUAGUUGGUCUGAGAGGACGACCAGCCACACUGGGACUGAGACACGGCCCAGACUCCUACGGGAGGCAGCAGUGGGGAAUUUUGGACAAUGGGCGCAAGCCUGAUCCAGCUAUGCCGCGUGCAGGAAGAAGGCCUUCGGGUUGUAAACUGCUUUUGUCAGGGAAGAAAUCUUCUGGGCUAAUACCCCGGGAGGAUGACGGUACCUGAAGAAUAAGCACCGGCUAACUACGUGCCAGCAGCCGCGUGUAAUACGUAGGUGCGAGCGUUAAUCGGAAUUACUGGGCGUAAAAGCGUGCGCAGCGGCUUUGCAAGACAGGAUGUGAAAUCCCCGGGGCUCAACCUGGGAACUGCCUUUGUGACUUGCAAGGCUAGAGUACCGCAGAGGGGGAUGGAAUUCGCCGUGUAGCACUGAAAUGCGGUAGAUAUGCCGGAGGGAACACCCAAUGGCGAAGGCAAUCCCCUGGGGCCUGUACUG